RNAcentral lists this ribosomal RNA (200 nucleotides) under uncultured bacterium. Its description in RNAcentral is "partial 16S ribosomal RNA". It matches the Rfam family "Bacterial small subunit ribosomal RNA", at positions 8 to 204 of the family's 1533-position model. The record is from RNAcentral.
AGAGUUUGAUCCUGGCUCAGGACGAACGCUGGCGGCGUGCCUAAUACAUGCAAGUCGAGCGAAUGGAGGAGAGCUUGCUCUCCAAAGUUAGCGGCGGACGGGUGAGUAACACGUGGGCAACCUGCCUAUAAGACUGGGAUAACUCCGGGAAACCGGGGCUAAUACCGGAUAGUUCUUUUCUCCACAUGGAGAGAAGGGGA